RNAcentral lists this ribosomal RNA (1197 nucleotides) under Triticum aestivum (bread wheat). Its description in RNAcentral is "partial small subunit ribosomal RNA". The record is from RNAcentral. Lineage: Eukaryota; Viridiplantae; Streptophyta; Magnoliopsida; Poales; Poaceae.
AUGUCGGGCGCGAGCCAUGACCAGCACCGCCGCCACCUGUCGGGCGACUUCGACGAGCUGGCCUCGCUCUUCGCGCAGCGGCCGGCCGACGCCGCCUCGCCGUCGCCCAUGAUGCUGAUGCAGCCGCAGACGCCGUGGUUCUUCGCCGACUACCUGCAGACGCCGGGGAUGGACUACGAUGACGCGUUCGCCAGGGACUUCAUCGGCUCGCCGGCCGGCGGCGUCGGCGGCGUCGAGGAGGUGAAGAGGGAGAUGCUGGCGAGCGACGGUGCCGCUGGCGCUGUUGUUGUGCCUGGCGGCGGGCCCGGCGGGACGGCGCACAGCGUGUCGGUGUCGUCCACGUCGAGCGAGGCCGGGGUCGGCGGCAGCGGCGGCGCGGUGGAGGACGAGGCCGGGAAGUGCAAGCAGGAGGAGGGCGAGGGCGACGACGAGAGCAAGCAGGCGGCGGCCGAUGGAGAAGCGGACAAGACCAAGAAAGGGGCGGCGAAGGGGAAAGGGGCGGCGAGGGUCAAGGGGGAGAAGCGGCCGCGGCAGGCGCGGUUCGCGUUCAUGACCAAGAGCGAGGUUGACCACCUCGAGGACGGCUACCGCUGGCGCAAGUACGGCCAGAAGGCCGUCAAGAACAGCCCCUUCCCAAGGAGCUACUACCGGUGCACGACGCAGAAGUGCCCGGUGAAGAAGCGGGUGGAGCGGUCGUACCAGGACGCCGCCGUGGUGAUCACCACCUACGAGGGCAAGCACACCCACCCCAUCCCCGCCACGCUCCGCGGCGCCAACCACCUGCUCGCCGCGCACGCCCACGCGCAUGGCGGCCACGGGCUCAUCCACCCCGGCAUGUUCCGGAUGCCGGCGCCGCCCGGCGCCUUCCGCCCCGGCGACGCGCUGGGCAGCUUCCUGCAGCAGCAGCACGCGGCCAUGCAGCACCAGCAGCAGGUCGCCGCUGCAGGGAUGGCGAUGCGGCAGGCGAACGCCAUGGCGAGCGGCCACAUGCAGGCGCCUCCCGCUGAUCGUGGCCUGGCCGCCGCCAUGGCCGGAGGUACGACGGGGAACAGUACCCAUACUGUCAGCAGCAGUAGUGCCGAUCCGCUGCGGAUGGAGCAACUGAUGGCGCAGGACUACGGCCUGCUGCAGGACAUGCUGAUGCCGCCGUCCUUCGCCCACAGCGACAACAGCAAUAACAACUCCAACCGCCAUUGA